This 253-nucleotide ribosomal RNA is filed under the name uncultured bacterium. RNAcentral's name for it is "partial 16S ribosomal RNA". It matches the Rfam family "Bacterial small subunit ribosomal RNA", at positions 524 to 776 of the family's 1533-position model. The record is from RNAcentral.
UACGUAGGGUGCAAGCGUUGUCCGGAAUUAUUGGGCGUAAAGAGCGUGUAGGCGGCCAGGUAGGUCUGCUGCGAAAACUCGAGGCUCAACCUCGAGACGCCGAUGGAAACCCCCGAACUAGAGUCCGGAAGAGGAGAGUGGAAUUCCUGGUGUAGCGGUGAAAUGCGCAGAUAUCAGGAAGAACACCCGUGGCUAAGGCGGCUCUCUAGUACGGUACUGACGCUGAGACGCGAAAGCGUGGGGAGCGAACAGG